GGAAUGACAUCUCACCCGACCCGCAGAGACUCCAUGAGCCUCCAGGGUAUCACAACUGAAGAGACAGUUCCACAUUGGGCAGGGUUGUGACAGCCUAUAUUCUGGUUGGACUCUCCCCCUCCAUUUUUUUCCUGUAUUGCAGGAUCACCAGCUGCACCAAUGACAAAGUUAAACCACAAGUAUUUUCCAUAGACUGGCAGAUAACUAUUUGGGGAGCAGUUGGGAUAUCUGCAACUCAAAAAUUUCAGAGUGUACAAGAUGUCAACUGAGAAGGCAUUUCUAGAGCCAGCUGUAGUAAGAGACCCUGAAACAUAAACCCUUGUAUCAGAGGCCUGGUCUGAGGCCUAAAGCCUGAACCAAAGUACUUCCAGGCAUUGCUUAGCAACGCUGGGCUGUGAGCCAGAGGCAGGCCCGAAUUGCAGAACUUGGCAAGAAAAGGGCUCCUAGAAAGCACGCACUAAUGAUAUAAGUAGUAAUAAGAGGAACCUGGACAUCCUAGAUACAAGGACACUUCACAGAAACAACAAGGAACAGCCAGGUGCAUCCCAAAGAUGGGGUCAAAAGGACAGCAUGAUGGACAGAUCUGUUUGUUUGAACCAACACAUCAAAGGGGGAGACAGCACCCUAAUGAGUCAAGGGGCUGUACCUCGAUACGUCAGUAGGGAUGAGUAAUCUGUCCUCCAACUAUAUAAAAAUAGGUCCCGGAGCGCAUAUCUUUGUCCAGCCUAGGGGGCAGUGGAGUGUCCCGCCACUGACUGAACUGUGUCCGUUACCAGGGGACACAUAUUUGUAGUAUGUCCUAUAGAGUCUAUAGGAAACUAUUACUGUGCUUCAUUUGACAAUAAACCUAGCCGGCUGCCUUUGUACCUUGCUAGAGUCUGUGGUCUUUGGGGGUUCUCUUGGGGUCUGCUGUGUCAGCUAUCUGUGCAGAGCUGGGGCAGCACAUAGAGGGAACCUGCCCGAGCCGUCUGUUCUCAUCAUUGAAUCAGAGCAGAGCACCUCACCGGUAGCUACUGCCAACACCAGCAGCUAUUCCCCUCUCUCUAUACCCUCAGCUCAUAU
Molecule: long non-coding RNA, 1062 nt
Organism: Dermochelys coriacea (leatherback sea turtle)
Lineage: Eukaryota; Metazoa; Chordata; Testudines; Dermochelyidae
Exons: 2
Source: RefSeq, a predicted model, not a curated record